UACGUAGGGCGCAAGCGUUGUCCGGAAUUAUUGGGCGUAAAGAGCUCGUAGGUGGUUUGUCGCGUCUGCCGUGAAAGCCCGGGGCUUAACUCCGGGUCUGCGGUGGAUACGGGCAGACUAGAGGCAGGUAGGGGAGAACGGAAUUCCCGGUGUAGCGGUGAAAUGCGCAGAUAUCGGAAGGAACACCAGUGGCGAAAGCGGCUUCCUGGUCCAGCACCGACGUUCAGGCACGAAAGCGUGGGGAGCAAACAGG
Molecule: ribosomal RNA, 253 nt
Filed under: uncultured bacterium
Lineage: Bacteria
Description: partial 16S ribosomal RNA
Rfam family: Bacterial small subunit ribosomal RNA
Source: RNAcentral